AACGCGAAGAACCUUACCUGGGCUCGAACGGCUUAGGAACGGCUGUGGAAACACGGCUUUCCCGCAAGGGACCUGAGUCGAGGUGCUGCAUGGCUGUCGUCAGCUCGUGUCGUGAGAUGUUGGGUUAAGUCCCGCAACGAGCGCAACCCUUGUCCUGUGUUGCAACUAAUAGGCACUCUCAGGAGACCGCCAGCGAUAAGUUGGAGGAAGGUGGGGAUGACGUCAAGUCAUCAUGGCCUUUAUGUCCAGGGCUACACACGUGCUACAAUGGUCGGUACAAAGCGCUGCCAACCCGCGAGGGGGAGCUAAUCGCAAAAAACCGUCCUCAGUUCGGAUUGCAGGCUGCAACUCGCCUGCAUGAAGCUGGAAUCGCUAGUAAUGCUAUAUCAGAAUGAUAGCGUGAAUACGUUCCCGGGCCUUGUACACACCGGUACUA
RNAcentral lists this ribosomal RNA (436 nucleotides) under uncultured bacterium. RNAcentral describes it as "bacterial SSU rRNA". It matches the Rfam family "Bacterial small subunit ribosomal RNA", at positions 958 to 1398 of the family's 1533-position model. The record is from RNAcentral.